UGUACACGUGACACGAGUGUAUACUAUCCCUAUAAAUACAUUCACGCGGAGCGAGUGUGUCUCGAUUCGAGAGCAACAUGUAUGGUUCUCUCUCUCUCUCUCUCUCUCUCUCUCUCUCUCUCUUUCUCUGUAGGUUUCGUAGCUUUCGUAGAACGUAGAGUGUAGAAAAUCGGUAGGAGGUAGAAAACGAAGCUUCUAAAAGUCGCGGCCUCGGUGCCCUGGAGAGAGAAGAGUGUGUAGGCGCGUGAGGAAUGUAAUGCUUCGAAAACGUUGCCGCGAUCGUAAAGCAUCGCGUGGGUCUCUUCGCGAGGGGUUGCGCGAGCAAAUAAAUUCGUUCGGCCGUCACGCCGCCAUUUUUACCCUCGUCGAUCGGUUGGCUGACGAUGUCGUUUGUAUUGCAACGUACUUACGUGGAUAGGUGGUAAAUUCUUCGACGAGCUUAUUGGAGAAUCAUCGUGGCGGAAAUUGUGCGGCAAAUCGUUGAUGCGAAUCCCUCGAAGCGAGGUGAUCAGUGUCUCGAGGAACUCUCGACGGAGGAUACUUUGUGACGCUAAUGGUCCAGCGUUAGCCUUAAUUUUCACUUUUCUUUCUUGUAAUCGUGAAAUGACCUCUGCGUUGAAUGUUUAUUAUUCGGCAACUUAGGAUAGUCUUAGGCUAAUCAUCGAGAUAUUUUUGCAAAUACUUGAUUUGAAAAAAAAAAAAAAAGAAUCGUGGACUUCGGGUUUGUCGUUGGUGAGCUGGAAAAAGCGAAGAAAUCCGGUUCAGAAACGGGAUCGUAAUAGCGGCGUGUUUUGCACAAAGGUGCUAAUAAAAA
Bombus pascuorum is the source of this 814-nucleotide long non-coding RNA. RefSeq lists it as uncharacterized. The transcript has 2 exons. NCBI's taxonomy places the organism in Eukaryota, Metazoa, Arthropoda, Insecta, Hymenoptera, Apidae. The record is from RefSeq and is a predicted model, not a curated record.